UACGUAGGGGGCAAGCGUUGUCCGGAAUCAUUGGGCGUAAAGAGCGUGUAGGCGGUCCGGUAAGUCGGCUGUGAAAGUCCAGGGCUCAACCCUGGGAUGCCGGUCGAUACUGCCGGACUAGAGUUCGGAAGAGGCGAGUGGAAUUCCCGGUGUAGCGGUGAAAUGCGCAGAUAUCGGGAGGGACACCUAUGGCGAAGGCAGCUCGCUGGGACGUUACUGACGCUGAGACGCGAAAGCGUGGGGAGCAAACAGG
RNAcentral lists this ribosomal RNA (253 nucleotides) under uncultured bacterium. RNAcentral's name for it is "partial 16S ribosomal RNA". It matches the Rfam family "Bacterial small subunit ribosomal RNA", at positions 524 to 776 of the family's 1533-position model. The record is from RNAcentral.